Daphnia carinata is the source of this 391-nucleotide long non-coding RNA. RefSeq lists it as uncharacterized. The transcript has 4 exons. The record is from RefSeq and is a predicted model, not a curated record. Lineage: Eukaryota; Metazoa; Arthropoda; Branchiopoda; Diplostraca; Daphniidae.
CGGCAACGAAACGUCCUAGGAAGAGUUAAUUCUCGAGCAACGAUUCUUUAGGAGUGGAGUACGUCUUGUACUAUGUGCAGCCAAGAGAGGUGUGAGGUUCACUGGAUGGCAACUCGUCUAUUGACUAUCCUGUUUGAUCGUCUAUUGUUGGGCAUCCCGGCAGGUCGAGCAAAAAUGUCUUGCGUGUGGAACCAUAGUGGGAUCCAGGUGAAAAUACUAACGCCGUCACAAUUGGUUUGUUAUUAUACAAGUACACGACUCAAGACUUGCACCGCCUCCUAGUCGGAGAUAUCCGGUACUACCGCUUAGUGACUUAUUGUGAAGGUCGCAGCUACCACGAUCGUUGGACGAGUUCGGACUAAAAAAUUAUGAUCUUACCAGUUCUACGUGG